This 441-nucleotide ribosomal RNA is filed under the name uncultured bacterium. Its description in RNAcentral is "partial 16S ribosomal RNA". It matches the Rfam family "Bacterial small subunit ribosomal RNA", at positions 338 to 795 of the family's 1533-position model. The record is from RNAcentral.
CCUACGGGAGGCUGCAGUGGGGAAUAUUGCACAAUGGGGGAAACCCUGAUGCAGCGACGCCGCGUGAGUGAAGAAGUAUUUCGGUAUGUAAAGCUCUAUCAGCAGGAACGAGACAAGACGGUACCUGACUAAGAAGCCCCGGCUAACUACGUGCCAGCAGCCGCGGUAAUACGUAGGGGGCAAGCGUUAUCCGGAAUCACUGGGUGUAAAGGGAGCGUAGACGGCUGAGCAAGCCUGAAGUGAAAGGCGGGGGCCCAACCCCCGGACUGCUUUGGGAACUGUACGGCUGGAGUGCAGGAGAGGUAAGUGGAAUUCCUAGUGUAGCGGUGAAAUGCGUAGAUAUCUGGAGGAACAUCAGUGGCGAAGGCGACUAUCUGGCACAUAACUGACGCUGAGGAGCGAAAGCGUGGGUAGCAAACAGGAUUAGAUACCCUUGUAGUC